GCAGUUCAAAUUGCGAUACAACUGCUACGUGUGUAGCAGUUGUAUCGCAAUUUGAACUGCA
Molecule: microRNA precursor, 61 nt
Filed under: Paramuricea clavata
Lineage: Eukaryota; Metazoa; Cnidaria; Anthozoa; Malacalcyonacea; Plexauridae
Source: RNAcentral